This 159-nucleotide ribosomal RNA is filed under the name Ginkgo biloba (maidenhair tree). RNAcentral describes it as "5.8S ribosomal RNA". It matches the Rfam family "5.8S ribosomal RNA". Rfam says of the family: 5.8S ribosomal RNA (5.8S rRNA) is a component of the large subunit of the eukaryotic ribosome. It is transcribed by RNA polymerase I as part of the 45S precursor that also contains 18S and 28S rRNA. The record is from RNAcentral. Lineage: Eukaryota; Viridiplantae; Streptophyta; Ginkgoopsida; Ginkgoales; Ginkgoaceae.
UCACGACUCUCGGCAACGGAUAUGUCCGUCUCGCCACGAUGAAGAACGUAGCGAAAUGCGAUACNUAGUGUGAAUUGCAGAAUCCCGUGAAUCAUCGAGUCUUUGAACACAAGUUGCGCCCGAGGCCUCGGCCGACAGGCGUCUGCCUGGGCGUCGCAC